GAUGAACGCUGGCGGCGUGCCUAAUACAUGCAAGUCGAGCGAACGGACGAGAAGCUUGCUUCUCUGAUGUUAGCGGCGGACGGGUGAGUAACACGUGGAUAACCUACCUAUAAGACUGGGAUAACUUCGGGAGACCGGAGCUAAUACCGGAUAAUAUUUUGAACCGCAUGGUUCAAAAGUGAAAGACGGUCUUGCUGUCACUUAUAGAUGGAUCCGCGCUGCAUUAGCUAGUUGGUAAGGUAACGGCUUACCAAGGCAACGAUGCAUAGCCGACCUGAGAGGGUGAUCGGCCACACUAGAACUGAGACACGGUCCAGACUCCUACGGGAGGCAGCAGUAGGGAAUCUUCCGCAAUGGGCGAAAGCCUGACGGAGCAACGCCGCGUGAGUGAUGAAGGUCUUCGGAUCGUAAAACUCUGUUAUUAGGGAAGAACAUAUGUGUAAGUAACUGUGCACAUCUUGACGGUACCUAAUCAGAAAGCCACGGCUAACUACGUG
RNAcentral lists this ribosomal RNA (497 nucleotides) under uncultured bacterium. RNAcentral's name for it is "partial 16S ribosomal RNA". It matches the Rfam family "Bacterial small subunit ribosomal RNA", at positions 28 to 507 of the family's 1533-position model. The record is from RNAcentral.